This 248-nucleotide unclassified non-coding RNA is filed under the name Hevea brasiliensis (rubber tree). Lineage: Eukaryota; Viridiplantae; Streptophyta; Magnoliopsida; Malpighiales; Euphorbiaceae. The record is from RNAcentral.
AUUUGCUACAAUAAGAGUUUUUGCCUCCAGAUUACUAGCAAUUUCUCGUCCAACAAUACCAAAGAUGCCAAUAAGGUAGCCGAAUGGUUCAUGAGUACACAACUGAAUUCAUGAGGUUAGCUGAAAGAAAUAGCCUCCAUGAAUCCGAAGGACAACAAAUUGUAUGGUACUUGGAAGGAUUAAAGCCAACCAUAAACGACCGGAUUGGAGUUCAAGUAUUGCGGACGUAAUCCAAGGCUAAAAAUGUG